ACGUGUCUGGUGUGUUUCUGAGAGAGCCUCCUGUUUUCAGUUUCCAUCCCUGUUCCUAUAGCUGUGUUCCAGUUUUACCACAUUACUUUGCUACUCCUAAUUACCAAGUUGUGUUCUGCUUCAUCCUUUUCAUCCAGUUGCCCUGUGUAGGAAGCAUUUAUACCCUCCUUCUUCACUUUGUUUUUAAAAUCCGGUCCUAUUUUUGCAGCAUUUCUUGAGUUUCCCAGGUGGAAGUGACAGUUCUCUUAUCUUGACCUUACUAUCCUUUAUUCACUUCAAUUAUAAAAGUAGUGAAUUUUGUAUUUCUGUUUUUUGUGUUUUUUUUUUUUUACAUUUCCAUCAUCCAUUAAAUGUAGUGCAGAAUCUGCCUUUGUUUAUAUGUUCAGCUUUUCCCAGAAUAUUGCCCAUGAUUUGAUAGACUCUAAAUACAUAUUUUCUAACUGACUGAGUGGGUGAAUGAAUGAAUAAAUACAAUGUGUUCUGAAGUUGGGAAUUUUUUUAAUAGGAGGGAACAGCAAAUCCAUCAACUACAAAAAAGGAAAAUGGUAUUGGUAUUAUUGAAAAUGCUCUUCAAGUGCAAAACACUAGUGGCAGUUUUACUGCUGUGUGUCAUCAUAACAGAAGUGAUAUGAUGUCUGCAUUAGUAUCUGGAGAAAACGAAGUUGUAGAAGUACCUUUGGAUUCGUCUUGUGAGAGUAUUUCCAAGAAUCCUCUACAGAAGCAUGUUGUUCCUUCAUCUGGGACUGUAGAUAAAAAAGGAAGAAAUACAGUAAAUGGACAAAUAGAAGGUAAGAACCAUAUUCGUAAAAAAAAAAAAAAAAGUCAUUUGGAGAAUAUUUAUUUUAAAACAUGAGCAGUGACAUAUUCUAACAGGCAAAGAAAAUCACCUAUUAGGAUACAUAAUAAGGAAAGGAGAAGUGAAAUGGUGAUACAUUGCAGAUCUUAUCAGGUGCCAGCAACAGAUGAAAUUGAGAAUGUCAGUGACAGAGCUGAAUUAGUAAUUCCCUUUCAAGAUGGUCUAAGACCUGAGGGAAGUCAGUAAAUAAGGAGGAGGCAAGGAGUCAAAGAGGGAAUGAAGAAUGAGGAAAGCAGAGAGUACAGGGAGUACGUGAAGGAAGGAGAAGCAGGGGGAUGUAAAAAAAGGUG
This 1146-nucleotide long non-coding RNA is filed under the name Microcebus murinus (gray mouse lemur). RNAcentral's name for it is "lncRNA (ENSMICG00000048208.1)". Lineage: Eukaryota; Metazoa; Chordata; Mammalia; Primates; Cheirogaleidae. The record is from RNAcentral.